This 252-nucleotide unclassified non-coding RNA is filed under the name Ascomycota sp. RNAcentral describes it as "partial contains small subunit ribosomal RNA, internal transcribed spacer 1, and 5.8S ribosomal RNA". The stretch from base 1 to 47 matches the Rfam family "Eukaryotic small subunit ribosomal RNA", at positions 1785 to 1831 of the family's 1831-position model. Lineage: Eukaryota; Fungi; Ascomycota. The record is from RNAcentral.
AAAGUCGUAACAAGGUUUCCGUAGGUGAACCUGCGGAAGGAUCAUUACCGAGUAAAGGGUCUCUAAGGCCCGCACUCCCACCCUUUGUGUACCUACCUUUGUUGCUUUGGCGGGCCGCGCCGCGGCCUCCGUGUAGCCGCCGGCUUCGGCUGGUGAGCGCCCGCCAGAGGACCUUCAAAACUCUGUUUAUCGGUGUCGUCUGAGUUAAACAUCAAUAAAUUAAAACUUUCAACAACGGAUCUCUUGGUUCUG